UCCGCUUCUCCAAGGAACAAACCAGCUGUGCAGCUUUCCAUGCUCUUUUUGCCCUGGCAGAGUUCAUCUUGGAAUCCAGGGCAAAGGACAGGGCAGGCCAAGCGCAGCGGGAAGCUGUGACCACCUCCGCACUGUGUUCUCUGAGCGCCAGGGACUGUGCCAAGGCCUUUGGACCAUACCUGCGGUCCCAGGAGAGAAGAGACAUC
Empidonax traillii (willow flycatcher) is the source of this 206-nucleotide long non-coding RNA. RefSeq lists it as uncharacterized. The transcript is spliced from 3 exons. The record is from RefSeq and is a predicted model, not a curated record. Lineage: Eukaryota; Metazoa; Chordata; Aves; Passeriformes; Tyrannidae.